RNAcentral lists this non-coding RNA (180 nucleotides) under Spongiibacter pelagi. RNAcentral's name for it is "6S / SsrS RNA". It matches the Rfam family "6S / SsrS RNA". Rfam says of the family: E. coli 6S RNA was the first non coding RNA to be sequenced, but its function was unknown until recently. Lineage: Bacteria; Pseudomonadati; Pseudomonadota; Gammaproteobacteria; Cellvibrionales; Spongiibacteraceae. The record is from Rfam by way of RNAcentral.
CCCAUCCUGAGGUAUUCGCCAGGUUACCAAUCCCCUGAGCCGAUGCUUUUAAACCCGGAGAGUUCCAGCUAGUAUCGGUGUGCAUGUCCGCGUGACGGAAAGCCUAAAGAUGCUACGGAACAAUCCACCUUGAACCACUGGGUUCAAGGGUCACGUAGCCAGCGGUACCUCGGGGCCUUA